Molecule: long non-coding RNA, 6834 nt
Filed under: Sorghum bicolor (sorghum)
Lineage: Eukaryota; Viridiplantae; Streptophyta; Magnoliopsida; Poales; Poaceae
Description: long non-coding RNA (SBIC_LNC002641)
Source: RNAcentral
GUCCUCAGCAAGCUCCUCCAAAUGACCACUAUUUUGUGGCUGCGCAGCAUCAGCUGGUGGCGGCGUGGCAGUAGUACGAGGCACCGGUGCAGGAGGACCUGUAAGAAGAAAGUCCAGAGAGCUUGGCAGCACACUGGGAGGGUUAGUACUGAACGGAAAUUGCGUCUCAUCGAAGUCAACAUGACGGGAGAUGAUCCGUUUAGUUGUGAGGUCGAGACACCGAUACCCCUUGUGUGAGGAGGGAUAUCCGAGAAAGACACAAGCUGUGGAACGAGGGGACAGUUUGUGUUUGGAAGUGGCGGUGAGGUUAGGAUAGCAGAGGCAACCGAAGACACGGAGAAUGGUGUAGUCUGGGGGUUGCCGGAAGAGUUGCUCAUAAGGAACAUGAUGCUGAAUGGCUGAACAGGGGCGCCUAUUGAUGAGAUAUGUGGCUGUAGCUAGUGCCUCUGCCCAGUAUUUAGGUGCCAUGUGAGCGUGGAUGAGCAGCGUGCGGCAUAUGUCGUUCAGGGAACGGAUGAUGCGUUCAGCCUUGCCGUUUUGAGAGGAGGUGUAAGGGCAGGAGAGACGUAGGUGAAUGCCGCUAGAGGCAAAGAAGGUGGCGAGGGCAUUGUUGACGAAUUCAGUGCCAUUGUCAGCCUGAACAGCCUUGACAGGAACGCUAAACUGUGUGUGGACGAAGGCGCAGAACUGAGUAAUGUGAGUAGCUACCUCGGACUUGUGGACUAGGGGGAAGGUCCAGCAAAAAUGGGUGAAGUCAUCGAGGAUGACAAGGUAGUACUGUGCACCAGAAAUGCUAGCGACCGGGGAUGUCCAAACAUCACAAUGUAUAAGCUCAAACGGUAAAGAGGAAACUGAACUGGAAUUUCCAAAUGGCAGCCGCACAUGCUUGCCAAGUUGACAUGAGUGACAUAGAGUUUGGGCUGAUUUAUUACAGGAAAUCGAAUUAUUUUGUCUAAGAAAAUGGAGGGCAGCAGCUCCUGGAUGACCAAGAUGAUGAUGCCAUAGGUCGGUGGAGAUGGCGAGGUUGGCCUGUGGCGUGGCAGGGACGGUGUAGAGGCCGUCGGAGCUAUUGGAGCGAAGAAUCACGCGUCUGGUCUGCAGGUCCUUAACAGAAAAACCAAACGCGUCAAAUUCGAUAGUGCAAUGGUUGUCACGAGUGAAUUGGCGAACUGAAAGUAAGUUGCGCACUAGAGAGGGGACAACUAAAACAUUGUGAAGCGAAAAGGGAGACGCGUGGCCUGGUAAUGUGGAGCUGCCGGAGCAAGAGACAGGAAGAUGAUGACCAUUGCCAACAGUGAUGGAUGGAAUAGAAGAGGGUUGACGGGAGAGGAGUAUACCAUCCGAAUUGUGCAUGUGAGAGGUGGCGCCGGAUGUUAGAGGUAACACAGAUUUUGAUUAGCCUUGAGGCAACUAACCCCAGGCGUCUCCUUCAUAUAUAUAGAGAAAGACAGAUAUUGCAUUGAUUACAAACAGCUCACUAGAGCUUUAAUUAGACAGACUAGCUGCCUGGGUACCCGCACAACUCUUGGGCUACCCAAGGCCUUUAAUGACAGAAAUUUAACUAGCACAGUUAUCUAAGAAAUGCUUAGGAAGCAGGGCUUAUUAACUACAUUUCUCCCCCUAAGGCCUGCUUCAAUUAAUCUUGAUCUCCUUGAUCCCAAUCCUGCUCCUCAUCUCUUCCAGCUUGGUUUUGCCCAAAGCUUUAGUCAGUAUAUCAGCGAGCUGAUCUGCAGUGGGAAUGAACUCUGUCUUGAUGCUACCAUCUUCCACACAAUCUCUGAUGAAAUGAUGCUUGAUUCUAAUAUGCUUGCUCCUGUCAUGGAAAACAGGAUUCUUUGCCAAAGCCAGAGCAGACUUAUUGUCUACUCUGAGUUCCACCACUUCAACUUUUCUUCCCAACAAAUCUGCAAACAGUCUUGACAACCACAAAGCUUGGGUUGCAGCAGUUGUCAUCGCCACAUAUUCAGCCUCACAGCUAGACAGAGCAACAACUCUCUGUUUGACAGACUGCCAGCUGACCAGGCUGGUUCCAAGGAAGAACAAACAUCCAGUUGUGCUUUUGCUUGAAUCAACAUCUCCAGCCAAAUCUGAAUCACUGUAACCCACAAACCUUGCUUUGCCUGUUGAUCUAGUGUAGCAAAGCCCAUGAUCUAGAGUACCAGCCAGGUAUCUCAAGAUCCUUUUCACAGCCUGAAGAUGUUCAGUUGUUGGCUUCUCCAGAAAUCUGCUAACAUACCCUACAGCAAAAGCCAAAUCUGGUCUGGUGUGCACUAGGUAUCUCAAACUGCCAACCAGUCUUCUGUACUGAGUUGGAUUUACUUCUUUUGCUGUGCUUUCCUUGCUCAAUUUCAGCCUUUCUUCCAUGGGUGUGGUGGCUGGAUUACAACCUGCCAUACCACCAAGCUCAAGUAUCUUCUUAGCAUAAUGGGUUUGCUUCAGAGUGAUGUUCCCUUCUGAUUGUCUCACCUCAACUCCCAGAUAGAAGGACAGAAGACCUAAAUCACUCAUUUCAAAGGUUUGCUUCAUCUUUGCCUUGAAAGCUUCAAUCUUCUGCUGAUUGGCUCCUGUGAUGAUCAAAUCAUCAACAUAGACUCCAAUUACCAGUAAGGAGUCACCUGAUCCCUUUCUGUACAUAGCAGCUUCAUACACAUUCGGCUCAAAACCCAUCUGCUUGAGAGUGAAGUCAAGCCUGGCAUUCCAUGCCCGAGGAGCCUGUCUCAGGCCAUACAGGGCCUUGUGCAGCCUGUACACUUUCUUCUCUUCUCCUGUUACAGCAAAACCUGGAGGCUGUGUAACAUAAACCUCCUCCUGGAGUUCUCCAUUCAAAAAUGCAGACUUCACAUCCAUGUGAUGUACUGCCCAUCCCUCUUGUGCUGCUAAGGCAAGCAAAACACGCACUGAUUCCAUCCUUGCAACUGGUGCAAAAGCAUCUUCAUAGUCAACUCCUUCCUGCUGCACAAAACCACGGGCCACAAGUCUUGCCUUGUGCCUAAUUACAGCUCCAUGUUCAUCUUUCUUCAGCUUAAACACCCAUUUUAGUGAAAUGGGACGGUGACCAGGACGGGGAGAAACAAGUUCCCAAGUCCCAUUCCGCUCUACUGAUCUCAGCUCCUCCUUCAUCGCUGCUUGCCAAUCUGGAUCAUCUUUGGCUUCUUCAUAGCUUGUAGGCUCACCAGAAUGGGUGAGAUUAAGUUCUGCAAACAGCCGCUGCGCUGGCGGAGGGGUUGGCUGAUCACCAAUAAUGUCAUGAAUCUUCCGAUAGCGGAGUUCUUCAUCAUCAUGGUAGGCAUCCACCCUUUCAUCAUCAUCUUCCAGGGGAGUCACAUGCUCAACCUGAGGACUUGCUGGAGCUGGUGUAGGUGUUCUGGGUGACGCAGGCGCCUCUGCCUCCGCUGCGGGCUCCUCUGCUUCUGCUGCAGGCUCUCCUGCAUCCACCGGAGAGAAACCAGGCGAUGCAGGAUGUGGCGGAGGAGAUGGUGAAGGCGACGCUGAACUUCCUGCUUCAGGGAGUUCCUCUGCCCAUGGGAAUUCAACAGAAAACUCACUGCCCGCUGCUUCUGGUGUGCCUACUGCUGGUGAUGCCCAGUCCCAGCCGCGGCCUUCGUCAAACACCACAUCACAGCUGACACGCACGCGUUGGGACACUGGAUCAUAGAUACGGUAUGCCUUGGCCCCUUCCGCAUACCCGAUAAACACGCCAGCCUCUCCGCGGUCAUCGAGCUUGCGAAGCUGAGUAAGCCGCCGGGUAUAAGCCACACAGCCAAAGACCUUGAGGUGGCCGACUGUUGGUGCCCGACCAUGCCACGCUUCAUAAGGAGUGACAUUCUUCAGCGCCUUCGUCGGGGAUCGAUUCAGGAUGUGUACAGCCGUCAUCACAGCCUCCCCCCAAAACCGAGAGGGCAUCUGGCGUUGCUUGAGCAGAGCUCGUGCCAUGGCCACCACUGUUUGGUUCCUGCGCUCAACAACACCGUUCUGUUGCGGUGAAUAAGGGGCACUGAAAUGCCGUUUAAUACCUUCAUCAGCGCAGUAUGCAGUAAACUCUGCGACGGUGAAUUCACCGCCAUUGUCGGUGCGCAGGACCUUCAACUUGCGCCCGCUUUCCACCUCUGCUGCCACCUUAACCUUCUUGAUUGCUUCUGUUGCUGCGUCCUUGGAUGGCAGCAGCACAGCCCACAUAAAGUGGGUGGCGUCAUCGACAAGCAGCAAGAUAUAGCGGUUGCCCGCCGGUGUCGCUGGCGUGACCGGACCGCACAAGUCACCGUGCACCAGCUCAAGCUGAUUCUGGGCACGGUAUGCUGCUGCAGCCGGAAAGGAACGCCGCCUCUGCUUGGUGGUAACGCAGGUGUCACACACCUGCUCAACAUGGUCGACCACCGGCAUUCCGCGCGCCAUCUCCUCCUUGCUGAGUCGCCGGAGUGCAUCGAAGUGCAGAUGGCCGAAACGCUCAUGCCACUGCCACGCCUCUUCAUCCUUGCGUGCCGCGAGACAGACAGGUUGUGCAGCCUCAAGAUGCAGAAUAUACAACCUAUUCUUCCCUCUGCGUACCUUGGCGAGCAGACGGCGACUCUUGUCCCAAAUGCGAAGCACGCCAUCAUCAAUCUCAACCUUGGACCCUCCUUCAUCAAGUUGUCCCAGACUUAUGAUAGAGUUCUUCAGCGCCGGAAUGAAAUAGACGCCAUGAAGAACCCUCUGCUCACCGGUCUUGGCUUGGAAAACAAUAGACCCGACGCCCUUGAUCUCAACCUUCGACGCAUCCCCGAACCGGACCGUUCCUCGAACGUCAGUGUUCAGAUCAGCAAAGAGCUCUUGGCGCCCGGUCAUGUGAUGCGUCGCGCCGGAGUCCAGGUACCAGCCGCUGUCCACCUCUUCUUCGUCCACGCCGAGGUAGGCACGAGCGCGUGGCUCAGAGAGCUCGACGUGCUGCGCCGUGUAGCUGUGCACCAGCGUGCUCUGUUCCAGGCUGAUGAAGCCAUGUGCCAGAAACAGAGCACCAUCUUCAUCGCACUCAGCGUACUGGGCGCGCGUCUCAUGCCUUCCUUGGUUCCCACCACGCUGCCCAGCCUGAUUUCCGCCGCCACGACCUCCACCACGGUUGCCACCACCGCGGCCAGCACGGUUUCCCCCUCCACCGCCGCGCUCUGCAUCUUCACGGCGCGGCUGGGGACACUCACGUGCCCAGUGGCCUUCCUGGUUGCAGUUGAGGCAGGUGUUGGGGCCAACACGACCAGCGCCUUUGCCUUCUCCACGUCCGCCACCACGGCCAGCACCUCUGCCUCGUCCGCGUCCACCACCACGGCCGCGUCCGCCGCCACCGCUAUGCUGGUUCUUGAACCAGAACCGCCAGCUUCUUCUGCGCCUUGCUUCUCCUUCAAACGCGCACGCCACUGCUCCUCGGUGUACAGCAGCUUGCCGUUAAUGGACACCGGCUCUGUCACAGCUUGCGCUUCACGUUCAUCCACCGCCUUGAGCCUUCCUGUCACCUCCUCAAGCGAGAGCGCCUCGAAAUCGAGGAACUGCUCGAUGGCGACGACAAUCUGCGUACUUGGCAGGCACCGUGCGCAGAAACUUCUCCACAACACGCUUCUCGUCGAUGUCCCUGUCACCAUGAAGAACAAGCUGCUGGUGCAGAGUUGACAGCCGCAGGGCAAAAUCCUCCACCGGCUCGCCAGGCUUGACAUCCAUGUUCUCCCACUCCCGACGCAGCCGCUGCAACGUCGCUCGGCGGACCCUGUCCACACCGAUUCGAGUCGCAGCGAUGGCAUCCCAUGCCUCUUUUGCUGUCGCCUUGUCAAGGAGCGGGAGCCCCAACUCCUUGGGCACAGACGCGACAAUCACCUCCAAGGCUCGCCUGUCGUCGCGGUACUGCACUGGGCCUCCUUCGACAGCUUCCCAGAGAUCGCGCGCCUGCAUCCUGAGCUUCAUCGUCUGGCUCCACUCAUAGUAAUUUGUCUUGUCCAGCAUUGGCCAUGAUGUGCCGCUGCCGGAGUCGCGGUAAACCACCCUGCCUUGCGGUGAUUCAUAGCGGCCGCCGCCACGACGCCUUCUGUUACGCAGUGGUGACUGCGAACGGCGCCUGUCCCGCGAUGGAGUCCUCUGGCUCCUCAAGUCCUCCUCUUCCUCUUCCUCCUCUUCUUCUCCCUUCUCAGCAGCAAUUUCGGCCCGCAGCUCCUGCGCCGUCCUUGCUGCCGCCUCUGCAGCAGCCGCCGCCUGCUGUGCUGCCUGGACUGCCAGCGCUGCUGCUUCCUCUGCAGCCUUCAAGCGCGCAGCCUUGAGUCUGGCAACGCGCUCAGCAGAGGUCGACAUGGGUGGAGGAGGAGAGGAGAUGGCCUCGUGGCUCUCUGGUGUCUAACCUAGCUUUGAUACCAAAUGUUAGAGGUAACACAGAUUUUGAUUAGCCUUGAGGCAACUAACCCCAGGCGUCUCCAUAUAUAUAGAGAAAGACAGAUAUUGCAUUGAUUACAAACAGCUCACUAGAGCUUUAAUUAGACAGACUAGCUGCCUGGGUACCCGCACAACUCUUGGGCUACCCAAGGCCUUUAAUGACAGAAAUUUAACUAGCACAGUUAUCUAAGAAAUGCUUAGGAAGCAGGGCUUAUUAACUACACCGGAGUCCAUGACCCAGCCGGAGUUCUGGAGCGCCAUCUGGUUCAAGGCGGCGAUGAGGCCGGACUGAUCCCACACUGGAGCGGAUGGAGCUGUUGGAGGGGGAGCGAAGACGGUGUGGGCCUGCGGACUGGCGCCCAUGAUGCCCUGGCCGCGCUCGCCCAGAUCACCGUGAGGGGGCCAGCCGCCGGUGCUGUUGCCCUGCUGCCACCCGCUGCCUGGAGGAGGAAC